RNAcentral lists this ribosomal RNA (465 nucleotides) under uncultured bacterium. RNAcentral's name for it is "partial 16S ribosomal RNA". It matches the Rfam family "Bacterial small subunit ribosomal RNA", at positions 338 to 795 of the family's 1533-position model. The record is from RNAcentral.
CCUACGGGAGGCUGCAGUGGGGAAUAUUGCGCAAUGGGCGAAAGCCUGACGCAGCGACGCCGCGUGAGGGAUGAAGGUCUUCGGAUCGUAAACCUCUGUCAGCAGGGAAGAACGGUCACUGUGCUAAUCAGCAGUGAAUUGACGGUACCUGCAAAGGAAGCACCGGCUAACUCCGUGCCAGCCGCCGCGGUAGUACGGAGGGUGCGAGCGUUAAUCGGAAUUACUGGGCGUAAAGCGCUCGUAGGCGGUAUGUCAAGUCAAGGGUGAAAUCCCCGCGCUCAACGUGGGAACUGCCUUUGAAACUGGCAAACUGGAGUGUGUGAGAGGAUAGUGGAAUUCCAGGUGUAGGAGUGAAAUCCGUAGAUAUCUGGAGGAACAUCAGUGGCGAAGGCGACUAUCUGGCACAUAACUGACGCUGAGGAGCGAAAGCGUGGGUAGCAAACAGGAUUAGAUACCCCAGUAGUC